Molecule: long non-coding RNA, 1306 nt
Organism: Hemicordylus capensis (graceful crag lizard)
Lineage: Eukaryota; Metazoa; Chordata; Lepidosauria; Squamata; Cordylidae
Exons: 3
Source: RefSeq, a predicted model, not a curated record
AAAAAAAAAAGGAAAGGAGGGCGAGAGAGAGGGAGAAGGAAUAAAGAAAACAAUACCCCACUCCACACAACAAAAGGCAAGAGAAAGAAAAAAGACAGAAAGAAGUGAAAAAAGGUGGAAGAAAGGAAGGAAAAGAGAGAGAGGGAGAGAGAGAAAAGGAAGGAAAGGAAAGAGAGGAAGAGAGAGAGAGAGAAAAGGAGGGCAAGAGAAAGGGAGAAGGAAUAAAGGACAACAACAACAACAACAACAACAAAGGAAGUAGCGCCUGAUAUUUUAACGGGCUUAAAAAUACUAGUCACCUAUAAAACCCUUCAGGGUUUGGCACCUGUGUACCUUCAGGACCGCCUCUCCUAUUCAACUUCAACCCACCCUGUGAGGUUGUCUCAGAACAAGGUAUGGAAGUAUGGAGGAAUACAGAGGUAUGGAGGAAUACAAUGUAUGGAGGAAUACUGAGACCCAGAAACUUGCCCAAGGCCACUCAGGAAAUUUGUGGCAGAAAUGGUGGUAGUCCAAGACUUCUGUGUGUCUGAGAUAACCCUGGUGGCUAUUUUAGGUCUCUUUGGAAAAUGGCACUGCCUCUAUGACUUCAAAGGGGAAAGUGACUGUCACCCAGAACCCCACUACAACGUCUUCAAGGGAUUUCCUGUAUGGUCUCCUGUUUGGAUAACCAGCCCAUGUUGCCCUUUCUGGGGACCAAGAGUUACAUAACACUACUCUUUGACUCCCACCAUCUCGGUCAUUAAAGGAAGUCUGAGCUCACGUCAGCAGGGGCAUGACGGUUCUUACCUCCUUUUUCCUGGCAUUCUCCUGUUGGAUCACAGAAGUGUUUGGGCAAGAUCUUUUCCUGUGACCUCUGGGGGCAGAUUUUACCCUUUUCCUCUUAUGUCUCGCUACUGUGUCCACAGAGGGAACAGCACUGUAUUCUCACGGAAAUACCUUCCUUCCAAUGCCUCCUUGUUUCAUAAGAACAGGGACUCCUUGCUGAAGAAAGCAUUGAGGACAUUCCAAGUGAGUAUCAUGAGAGAGGUUACCUUUACUUUUUGAGAAAGGAAAGCUUUCAGACUAGGUCUUCUGAUCCACUGAGCAAAACACAGCCCAACAGGCACAUACAGUGGUCCACCUGUCCAUCAAAGGCCCUCCUGUUAUUGCUGCUGCCUUUCCCUGGGACUUCAGAAAUGGGGUGCAGGUUUGUAUGCGUAUCUCAAGCACCUCUCGGGCCAAAAGCCAAGCUGGUGCAUUCCACUUGGUGCAUUCUAAGUUGUGUCUGCCUGCUUCAGACCAUUCUCCAUUCUAAAGGACUGCAGUA